RNAcentral lists this ribosomal RNA (492 nucleotides) under uncultured bacterium. Its description in RNAcentral is "partial 16S ribosomal RNA". It matches the Rfam family "Bacterial small subunit ribosomal RNA", at positions 29 to 507 of the family's 1533-position model. The record is from RNAcentral.
AGUGAACGCUGGCGGUAGGCCUAACACAUGCAAGUCGAACGGCAGCACAGUAAGAGCUUGCUCUUACGGGUGGCGAGUGGCGGACGGGUGAGGAAUACAUCGGAGUCUACUUUUUCGUGGGGGAUAACGUAGGGAAACUUACGCUAAUACCGCAUACGACCUACGGGUGAAAGCAGGGGAUCUUCGGACCUUGCGCGAUUGAAUGAGCCGAUGUCGGAUUAGCUAGUUGGCGGGGUAAAGGCCCACCAAGGCGACGAUCCGUAGCUGGUCUGAGAGGAUGAUCAGCCACACUGGAACUGAGACACGGUCCAGACUCCUACGGGAGGCAGCAGUGGGGAAUAUUGGACAAUGGGCGCAAGCCUGAUCCAGCCAUACCGCGUGGGUGAAGAAGGCCUUCGGGUUGUAAAGCCCUUUUGUUGGGAAAGAAAAGCAGCAGGUUAAUACCCCGCUGUUCUGACGGUACCAAAAGAAUAAGCACCGGCUAACUUCGUG